AUGACUUUCCCAUCACAGCUCAUGGGACUACUGCUGUUCUGGGUUUCAGCCACCAGAGGUGAUAUUGUGCUGACCCAGUCUCCAGCUGUCUUGCCUGUGACUCCAGGGGAGAGAGCCACCAUCUCCUGCAGAGCCAGCCAGGGCAUUAGCACAAGCUUACACUGGUACCAGCAAAAACCAAACCAGGAUCUGAAGCUCCUCAUCAAGUAUGCUUCUGACUCCAUGUCUGGAGUCCCCUCGAGGUUCAGUGGCAGUGGAUCAGGGGCAGAUUUCACCCUCACCAUCAGCAGCCUAGAGCCUGAAGAUGCUGCAAUUUAUUACUGUCAGCAAAGUUAUAGCUACCCUCCCACAGUCAUACAGGUCAUAUAA
This is a non-coding RNA of Jaculus jaculus (lesser Egyptian jerboa), 369 nucleotides long. The record is from the annotation of a RefSeq genome assembly. NCBI's taxonomy places the organism in Eukaryota, Metazoa, Chordata, Mammalia, Rodentia, Dipodidae.